Osmia lignaria (orchard mason bee) is the source of this 7471-nucleotide non-coding RNA. Lineage: Eukaryota; Metazoa; Arthropoda; Insecta; Hymenoptera; Megachilidae. The record is from RefSeq and is a predicted model, not a curated record.
UUUUUUUUUUCGGUAUUAUUUCCACCUCCCAAUACCUAUAUUCAAAUCGAGUAAAUACUUUUUCAGUCGCUGUACAUUAUAUUUUCGAUUUUGAAAUCUUAGUAUGAAUUUUAUAUCUAUAAAAUACUUUCUUAAUAAUUUUGCUCUUUUUCCACAUUUAAAAAAAUUUUUUUUUUUCUUCACUUUAUAUGUCAGUGUCUGGGGAAUUCGAAGACGACCGUCGGCUUCCGUCAUUAUUCAUGCGCAAGUUACAAUAUCCGUCAGACGAAUGUCCGCGAGCGAUAUUUCUCUCGAGAAACGUUUAUAACCCUCCAAUAAACGUCGCGUGGUCGUGUAUCGAUCGGAAUCAGUUACCGGGCUGAUUUUUUCUCUGUCCGUCUCAUCUCUUUAUCUACCGUGGUCAGAUUGACUAACAAUUACCGUGUGUUUUUGUUGAUCGACUUAAGUCCGCGAUCUUUUACCGGCCGUUACUUUCUGCCAAUCGAAGCUAUGUCAAAAACCGGUUCUUAAAUCUUGGAUCAUUACAAAGCGUCGCGUACUUGUCCCUCUGUUCUCCGUUUCGACGUUCAAACAUGAACGCGUACCACACAGGAUGUAUAGGCUGAUUUGGUUCGAUUUUGCGGCGUAUUAAUUAAUCGGACGCACGCUUCGGUGGGCGUCGGUAAAGUAGCGCGUUUAUACCAUCAUCUAUCCGCUGUGUUUACCGCGUGUAAAGAGUUGCACGUGCGCUCGCUUCUGCGUAAAAGGUCAAAAGAUCGUGAGGGAAAUCAUGUUCCCGGCAAUUAAUCUUCCCACUGAAACGUAUUGAGAUACCUUGCUUACAAAUACACACGCUUUGCGUAUAUCCUCUUCACGGGGUAAUAGGGUUAUUAUGGUUGAACAUUUUAAUCCUCGGACGGCGGACCAUGGAGAGAGCCCCAAUUUUAAUUUAUGUUAUUUUCAUUUUGUAAGUUUUACACUAUUCCUUUUAAAAUUAGGAUAAGUUUCCGAAUGCCCCCCCCCCAAUUGAGAACUCGGGUUCAGUAUAUAACCUAUACUGAGAGCUGGAUGUCUUACCGUUUUUAAGAUAUCGUGAUAAGAAAUUUGUGUACAAUUUUGGGACUACGUAUACGCUAUUCGAUACUGAAUAUAUGAACCUAACUUAAUCUAACCUAACUUUACCACGAUAUCCCGAAAACGGUAAGACAUCCAGCUCUGAAACCAACUUAAAUCGGUUUCCUGUAGUUAAUUUUGGUGGAGCCGUUCGGAAACACAGCCAAUAAUUAUACUAAAAUCAUAUUAUAAUAUUAAAAUCGCUGACUAAUGGGCUAGGUUAUAUUUUUAUUAUAUUUUGAAAUCUCGAAUUUUCUAAGUUUAUUCCUUGUUAAUAAGAAUUACUUUUCAUUGUCUAAUGGCAUCGAAGUAAUCACGUUUACUGCAAAGCACCCAAGGGUGAGAUUCGUCCAGGAUCAGUGUCUAAAGUAGUUAGUGUUGGAAAUGGUGAAACACAUCGGUCGGCCAUAAACCCAGCGCGACAGGCGGACGAAUGAAGUGCUUAUCGUUUCUCGCAAUUCCUCUAUAAUUCCAUGGCGGAUUUAGUGAAAUUUUUUGCUACCCUGUCGUUCUUGUCAGCCGUAAUGAUAUCUCCUCCUACACUCUUAUUCGAACCAACGACACUCUUCCACUCGAGCGGCAGUCCUUCUCGCUUUUUCUUUUUUUUCCUUAACUUUCAAGAAUUUUAUUGACGUAUCACCGACAAUUCAUUCCGGGAAUCAUACGGACACUAAUCAUUUCUUAGGAAAUUCAUUUUUCUCGUUUCCACACUACUCUUAUUGUGCUCAACCUUGUAUUAGUUUUAAUAUUGUCUGGUUCAUCUUUCAAAUAUUUAAUAUUUUCAGAAGCUCAUUAAAAUCUGUACAAACUUUGAAAAUUCUCAAACCAUCCACGGUAGUUCGAGUAACGUUAUAAGCAUCGAGUUGCGAAACUUGCACGCGUAAUCAGGAUAUUGGCAAGUAUUUUCUCGCUCGGGAACCCGUUUGGUCCACCUUGAAGUUCGCGAGCCUAGAGGUCCUCCAGUUUCGAAAUGUCUCCCGCGCCAGGCUUAGACGCUAUUUGAAGAGAUUACUUUCGAGGACCGGUCCGCUUCACUAGUCGGCCUUGAGACCAGCUGACAAACCGAGGAAGAAGCGCUAACACCAUUCGAAAUGGUCCCUGGUGGCAGGGGGGAUUGCGCAAUGCUUCGAAAUACCAUGACAUCGAUUCGCCCAUUCUAUCACCCUGCAAUCUCAUCAGGCUCAGCAACCUUUUUUGAGAAAAAAAUACAAAGAAACCGUGUAUAUAUAGGAAGUUUACUUUAAACACAAUAAUUUCCCCUAAAAUCAUUUGUAUCUUCACAAGUGAUAAAAUAAUUCAUUGGGACACCCUGUAUAAGCGCAAACGUGUGGUCGCUUCUUUAUAAUCCUCUCUUUCUCUGUUCUGCUUCUUUUUCGUUUCUCCUCUCUUUCUCACCGAUGUUCAGGUCUUUUUUGUAUCUUUUGCAGGCCAAAUGUCGGGCCUGGCCGACGGAUAAAUUUAUUUUCGUACACGCCUUUCGACUUCACGGGCAAAGAGAUUUAUGCAGAGAAUUCAUGGUGAACUUUCAAGCGUACCAGGAUUAUUCAUACCCCGCGGUCGCUCGAUGAGGAAUUAGAGAACGAGUCUACAUUCGUUUUUCAGUUAAACGCUUAGAGAUAGAUUUUUAUUUUAUUUUUUUUUUUUUUUUUUUACCAAGACCUUUUUGGCCCGAUAAAUGUACCCUCAGUAUAUUUCUGCUAAGGUAUAUUCCUUAGGGUUAUAGGGAAUUUUGGGGUUCCCGUACAUGUACACCCUUACAAGGGGAACUACCCAAGUGUUUACGUUCACUUAUUAAUGAAACUCUGCGACCUUGUUAAAGCUCGUCGAGCUGAAAAUGCCUGUACCACAUUUUGUGGGCAAAAGGCUAAUUGUUUAAAAGAUAUUAAUAAUUAAAGUUAGUUACUUUUUACAUUCUGAAGUACAACACUCACACAUAGAAACGAUUAGCUGAUUUGGAAUCAAAUCCUUGGUUCCAAACGUUUUUUUAACUUGUAUCUUUUUGAAUAUCUAUUGCAGCUGUGUUAUAAUAAUUGCAUUUAUUAAUAAUUAAUUACUAACGCUGCAAUUUUUAUAGAAUUUAAAUUAUGUUUAUGAUUAAUAUUUUGACCUUUCUAUAACGUUAGAUAAUCAUCCAUAACGAUAGAGAGGAUUACCUGUUGGAGAAUUUUAAUUUUCACAUUUAUCGCGAAUAAUUAAGAUCACUUUGGAGUCCUCCUUAAUGGCGGAACUCGUAAUUCAAAUCGACCGCAAGAGAGACAGAUACGCCGACGUCCCAAUGAUUCGCGACGACCUUCGAUUCGUCGAGUGGCUUCACUGAUCGCCAAUUCGGCUGACGUGUUCGGCUCGAUGUGUGCCAUUUUAUUAAAUCGAUCAGACCGAACGUGUCCCCUUUGUGCCUUUUUCUCAAUCAUCCUGGCUUUUGUUAUCGUCCUAUCUAUCCUUGUGCCAACGCUGAAAUUCCUAUUUCCCGCUUUGAGGCUAUCGAAAUCUUGCUUAUAUAAUUUUAUAAGCUCCAUACAUCCAUUGUAAUACCUGGGUCGACGGGCUGAAAAUUCGCCUAUUAACUGGGUUUAUAAUCAAAACGUCUCUUAGUCGCCAUUAACCCUUGAUCAAAGGAAAUGGGAGGGUGGUAAAUACACAGGAAUAUAAAUGCACGAUAUUAAAAAGAAAUUAACAAAAAUGUUUGAUUUUUAUAAGGAACAUUUAAAGAUUUAUUAUAGAAAAUGAAAACGAUAUGAUAUACAAUAUUGAAUGAAAAUUUGGGCUCUCUGCAUGGUCCGUCGUUCGAGGGUUAACAUUACAGAACGCUAAAAUUGUGGCAAAUAGCAGAAUUGCUUAAAAUCGCGUUAAAAAUGGGCGUCCAAACGGGACUACCCCUUAAAAAGUAGCGUCGAUAGAGAAGUUUAGAGGAAAGAGAAGCGAGAAAGAGAAAGGUUGUAGCUAGAGUUGAAGCGAGAGAGCAGAGGGGUGGGGGUACGGGAGAUGCGUCACCGGGAGGGUGGUAGUCAUACCACCCUCACCCUCCCGUGGCACUUUUGAAGGUCAAGGUUUCGCGCCCCUCUGUGUGUGCCAGCCAAGAGGAUUACGUGGCGGGAGGGCGAGAGGGGAGGUUGCAGGCGUAGAAGUGUUGGUAGACGGGGAAGUGACGGCAAAGGGGUGUGUGCGUGGGUGGCUGGGGGUGUGCGCCAGGGGUGGCGAGAGCCCGGUGCCCAGUAUUUAUAGCGCUUGUGAACCGGUCGAUAGCGGAUAGCGACACUGCGCAGUUGGGAAGCCCUCGGUACCCAAGUACACCCCUCCGUUCUUCCUCCGAUCCUCCUCUAUCCUUGUCCCUCCGGUUAAACCACCCCGUGUUCACCCUUUUACCAACCUCUUACUUGCUCGACCACCCCUUUCGUAUCAAGGCCUUUUUGCUUCCUUUUUUCCCUUUUUCGACUGUAUCCGCUCUGCCCUCUCUUUAAACUUAAUUUUUUUUUUUUUUUUUUUUUUUUUUUCGAUACGCCGCAAAAGAGGCACCUUUCCUCAGGAUAUUGGUCAUGGAUGCUACGGAGGGGGUGCGAAAUGGUCGAUAUCAAUAUCGAUUGGCAGUUUUUAGCAGCGACGGUUUCGAAGUCUUCUCAAGCGUUUAAAGAGCAGUCGUUUAUUGAGAAUCUGUUUCCUUCAAUGAAUUAGAUACUGACGUGACCCUACUUAACCAGAUCUUUUCUUCGAUCUAAGUGUAUACGGUAACCACUUAAUGGCGGGUGACUAUAGUCACCUGUGGUAACGAAAUGGGUUUAGGCAUUGGUGAUCCAACACGCGGUAUCGCGUGAUCAGUUUCAUAGAAGUGACAUCGCGUGGCCGGGGGUAUUCCUGAAAACACACCAGUGUAUCUUGAUCGGUGUAGAAGUAGGCUUAGUGUAUUAUCCGUUACACGUCCUAAAUAUACAAAGUUGGAAUCUAUUUCUGCGGUAAUUCAUGUAACACCUUAUUGGUAUAUGAUUAUUAAGAAUGAUCAAUUCCAGUGCGCUAAUUGCGAAUUUCUUGAUUCUAUUAACUCGUUACCUUAUGUUCCACCGUUGCGUUGGGCGAAUCGACAAUUUCAUUUGGAAAUGUUCUUAAACAAUUUCGACUAACAGGAAGAGAUGAAAUCCGUGGAUAAACAAAAGCGCGGGUUAUUUUUAGAAGAGAGAUGUAAAUUGGCCGGCAAAUUUGAUGGACGAACCACGAGCGACAAACGCUUUGUUUGAAGAACCACCGACCUAACCAAAUGCAAAAUAACGUCGGUGAACCUCCCUUCUGUGUAGACAAAAGAAAAGAAAAAAAAACACCGGCCUCAAGGUAACAUAGAGUGAAAGCAAAAAUAAAAAAAGAACAAGGAGAGAAGUUCGAGCAAAUAAAAACAAGAAACUGUUCGAGAAGAAAGAAGACGGUAGUACUGUUGUUAGAUAAAGAACUUGUCUGGAAAAAAAGGGACGAGAGAAGCUACGUAUCAACGUGUGUAUAUGUACCUGGUGCAGAGGGUGAAAGAGGGAGAGGGAGAGAGAGAGAGACGAUAGUAUAAGAUUGGUAGGGAGUGUGAGAGAGAAACAACGAAGUGGAGAAAAGAGAGGAGGUCAGAGGGUUAGCCAGCGCCGCCCCUAACCAGCUGGCGGGGGUAAAUCUAUUGCCAUUCCUUUCUGGGUGCAUUGGGUGGUUGUCACCCCCUACUAGUUUCAUCACGAAACAGAAAAAGACGGAUACGGAGGAAGGAGGACGGAAGAAGCGUGGGCGUUUCUGUGAAGGCAGAGAUAGAAGGUUGUGUUGGUAGAGCAGAGAGAGAGAGAGAGAGAGGGCAACGAUGGUGGUGAUCGCUAGCAGACAAUAGAGAAGGACAGGUUACGUGCGUUUCGUUGGAGAGAACUUAUCGGCCGACCGUAAAGGUCGUCGUUGGUUGCAUUCUCUUUACUACUUCUUGCAUCUAUUUCUUUCUGUACCCUCCAUCUUCCACACGCAGUCGCAGGGAGUCUUUAACGACUGACUGGACCAGCCGGUAGGAACGUUAGGAGAUAGAAAGAUCACUGUUCAUUGUGGAGAUAGUAUAUGAAGGAAAAUGAUACUCUACUGGCUUUCAAAAUAGCACUUGUAAAUAUAGUUAAUAGGAUCUCGGUAUCAGCCGAUGAUCCCUGAUAUUAGUGGGUAGAUUUACGUCACAGUCAUUUAUUUCAUUCAUCCAGCAAAUGUCUAGAGCGAAUCAGGUUUAGCCCUCAUCCCUAAAUAUAGAUAGCCUUAUAGAUAGAGCAAUAUCUCACUUGGUCUUAUUAGUAAAUCCGGACCACCCUGUAUAUCAUAUGUUCAGAAAGAGAAGACGAGGGUAGUUAGAAUAGAGAGGGAAAUGAUAGAAGAGAAGGGGAAAAACAUAAUCUGAUCACAUCAGCUGACAGAGAGUCACUUUACCAACAGGGAAUAAACUUAAUCUAAGUCUUCACAGUCGGAAAACAUUUUCCAACCACCCUUAAACAAUCGCUAUUAUAAUUUUGCAAAACUAUUAGUAUCCUCUAUAAUGGCGCAAAGUUCGAAUCCCAAACUAAUCAAAUGGUGCAGUUGGCAGUGGCAAUUAGCCCUUUCAGAAGCAAACAGGAAGUUUCUUUUUUUUAUUGAUAAAUAUUCAAGAAGCAGUGGAAUCCCUGAUGAUUCUAUACUUAAACGACGCAUUAACCAAGAUUUCUCUGAAUGUACACGAGGGUGGUGGUGGUGUAUCUGUCGGAAGGCUAGCCAGGAGCAGCAUCGAGGGAGAAUCAGCCCUCCUGCCCUUUCCACGAUCAAGGAGCGAGAGAUAGGAAAACACAAUGAUGGUUAGAGUGCGACAGGUGAAGAGGAAGGUUGGAGUGGGAGGGUUGAAGCAUUUCGGGGCGGCGAAGAGGAGGAUAGCCGUCGCGUGGAGUAGGGUGGGUAGUAGGGUAGCUAAAUCGUGGGACGAGUGGGGAAGGGUUAGAGGGUGUGAGAGUCGGCUGGCAGUGUGGUGGGGGAUAAAGGCAGGUUCCGUGCGUUUCGUUGGAGAACACGUACCACCAGGCGACCGUAAAGAUCGUCGCUGCUCCUCUCUCCAUCGCCGCAUAGAAGUCGAGCAGCUGGUAGCAGGAACGUCAGCAACGAGGAACGGAUCAGUCCACCGUGUGCCACCUUCGGGCUCCUUUUGAUAAACCAUCCGCGGUGCGGAACCAGUCUCUCCCUUUUUUUUUUAUUAUUCCGUCGAGAAAUACAUGUUCGCCAAACCGAGUUUCGAGAGACAAUGGAAAGUUACAAUGAAACAAGGAAAGGGAUGAUGAAAGUUGUAAAAAGAUUAAACGGUGUUAUAUCAAUGGUGGAUCGAUGGAAUAGAAGGCAGUUUUGAGCAAGGCUGAGAUAAGCGGAAUUAAAAAAA